Molecule: non-coding RNA, 1616 nt
Organism: Penaeus vannamei (Pacific white shrimp)
Lineage: Eukaryota; Metazoa; Arthropoda; Malacostraca; Decapoda; Penaeidae
Source: RefSeq, a predicted model, not a curated record
CAAGCCAGCGAAUGGGCCAAGUUCAAGCCAGGAAUGGGCCAAGUUCAAGCCAGCGAAUGGGCCAAGUUCAAGCCAGCGAAUGGGCCAAGUUCAAGCCAGCGAAUGGGCCAAGUUCAAGCCAGCGAGUGGGCCAUGGCUGGGCAGGAACAGUUUUCAAGCAUGGAAGGUUCCCACUACGCUAGAAAGAAGAACGGAAGAGGAACUGCACCAGCAUUAUGUAUAUGAUAUAUUAGAGAAGAACAUUUGAUGCAGUUGUUGAUAUCACCAUUUAUGUGUAUGAUUUCAAAAUUACAAUUAUUCAUGUAUUCAUAUAUAAUUAUGUAAAGUACACACAUGCACAGACUCUGUACUGACUCAUUCUUGUUGUGUGCUGUGUGGCGCAGCUGUAACGUGCUGGUCGAGCAAUCUUGCGGACCUGCGUUCAAUCCUGUGCGCUACCAGUGAAUGGUUACCCCUGCCAUUCCUUGCACGCAGGCGGAGAUUAGGAAGCAAAAUAAAACAGACAGUAUGUCACAGCAAAGAAUAUCCAUUGUAACAAAUGGAAUUAAAACUAAAUCUUUAAAUCAUCGUUGUAAUGGUUGUGUAGAAAGCAGUCAAGUUUCCAAAUAAUGACAAAAAUAUUUCCAACAAAUAUAUUGAUACUGUCACAAGACAAGAUUGUUGAGAUAUGGUGUAGACAUUAUACUGACCUGUUUAAUUGUUUUCAAAAUGAGAUAAGAGAAUGUUGGCAAAGGCAAUUUCACUGAGAAAAACCUUAUCAGGAGGUAUGAAAUUUUAUUUGAAAACUUUAUGGCCAGUUGUGUGGUGUGGACUUGUUAGUUCAGAGAAUGAAAGAAUGCUAUUGUAGAAUUCACUCUAGGCUGUGUGUAUUUUUGUGGUCUAUGGUGUCUAUGGUGCCUCUCCUGAAUAUGAUCUUUGAAGUAUUUGUGCCUGUUUUGCAAAGGCAAACUAGUAAAAAAAAAUUUUAUUCGAACAACUUGUUUUCCUAGUGUUGAAAUAAUUCUGCUGUUAUAAAUCUUUGGCUCUAUUGAAAAGAAAUAACUUGUACAGUGUGCAUUUUCCCUUGAAUAUAUGAUUACCAAAUACCAUAGUUUUAAUUGUUUCGUGCUUCCAUGGUAUUAGAUCAUAUAAAUGAUGAAGAGCUUAGAAGAAUGUAUGAUAGACGUAUGAUCAGCAUUUCGGCGUGCCCAUCAGACUCGGAUAGUUCAUUAGGGAAGAAUCUUGCCUGGCCCAUUGGGUAAGUCAGGAUAUUGGAUAAAGGCGGACGGUGUACUUUGUUGGUAAUCACUGAAUUCUCUAGUUCUGUCACUUAUGUUUUCAAAAAUUAGAUCAUAUUUUUUGUAAAACGAUUUUACAUUUUAUUGGUAUAGACUGUUGAGAUUGAAAGAAAGAGAUUGAAUAUAUAUUUCUACACUCAGUUGGGAAAUGCGAACAUUGUUAGUACGGAAAUGUAAAGCAUAUAGUUCUAAGCUGUAUUGGUCUUAUAUUUUGAUGUAUAUUAUUGUAUAAUCAAUGUUCAGUAAUGACCCAGAUAAUGUAUAGUGGAUGGUGCUAUAUUAUAGGAUAAACAUAUUUUGUUAUAUGUACUAAUUCAAUAAAUUGUUUAUAUUUUACAU